This is a non-coding RNA of Dichanthelium oligosanthes, 84 nucleotides long. The record is from Rfam. NCBI's taxonomy places the organism in Eukaryota, Viridiplantae, Streptophyta, Magnoliopsida, Poales, Poaceae.
GAAAGUCGUGUGCAAUGAAAAAUGCAAGCACGAUUUGGCGAGGGAUUUUUUUUUAUUGUAACCAGAAAGAAUUAUCUACUCCAU